This 1236-nucleotide ribosomal RNA is filed under the name Halomonas sp. RNAcentral's name for it is "bacterial SSU rRNA". It matches the Rfam family "Bacterial small subunit ribosomal RNA", at positions 163 to 1400 of the family's 1533-position model. The record is from RNAcentral. Lineage: Bacteria; Pseudomonadati; Pseudomonadota; Gammaproteobacteria; Oceanospirillales; Halomonadaceae.
CUAAUACCGCAUACGUCCUACGGGAGAAAGGGGGCUUCGGCUCCCGCUAUUGGAUGAGCCUAUGUCGGAUUAGCUAGUUGGUGAGGUAAAGGCUCACCAAGGCAACGAUCCGUAGCUGGUCUGAGAGGAUGAUCAGCCACAUCGGGACUGAGACACGGCCCGAACUCCUACGGGAGGCAGCAGUGGGGAAUAUUGGACAAUGGGGGCAACCCUGAUCCAGCCAUGCCGCGUAUGUGAAGAAGGCCUUCGGGUUGUAAAGCACUUUCAGCGAGGAAGAACGCCUAGUGGUUAAUACCCAUUAGGAAAGACAUCACUCGCAGAAGAAGCACCGGCUAACUCCGUGCCAGCAGCCGCGGUAAUACGGAGGGUGCAAGCGUUAAUCGGAAUUACUGGGCGUAAAGCGCGCGUAGGUGGCUUGAUAAGCCGGUUGUGAAAGCCCCGGGCUCAACCUGGGAACGGCAUCCGGAACUGUCAAGCUAGAGUGCAGGAGAGGAAGGUAGAAUUCCCGGUGUAGCGGUGAAAUGCGUAGAGAUCGGGAGGAAUACCAGUGGCGAAGGCGGCCUUCUGGACUGACACUGACACUGAGGUGCGAAAGCGUGGGUAGCAAACAGGAUUAGAUACCCUGGUAGUCCACGCCGUAAACGAUGUCGACCAGCCGUUGGGUGCCUAGCGCACUUUGUGGCGAAGUUAACGCGAUAAGUCGACCGCCUGGGGAGUACGGCCGCAAGGUUAAAACUCAAAUGAAUUGACGGGGGCCCGCACAAGCGGUGGAGCAUGUGGUUUAAUUCGAUGCAACGCGAAGAACCUUACCUACUCUUGACAUCCUGCGAACUUGUGAGAGAUCACUUGGUGCCUUCGGGAACGCAGAGACAGGUGCUGCAUGGCUGUCGUCAGCUCGUGUUGUGAAAUGUUGGGUUAAGUCCCGUAACGAGCGCAACCCUUGUCCUUAUUUGCCAGCACGUAAUGGUGGGAACUCUAAGGAGACUGCCGGUGACAAACCGGAGGAAGGUGGGGACGACGUCAAGUCAUCAUGGCCCUUACGAGUAGGGCUACACACGUGCUACAAUGGCCGGUACAAAGGGUUGCCAACUCGCGAGAGUGAGCUAAUCCCGAAAAGCCGGUCUCAGUCCGGAUCGGAGUCUGCAACUCGACUCCGUGAAGUCGGAAUCGCUAGUAAUCGUGAAUCAGAAUGUCACGGUGAAUACGUUCCCGGGCCUUGUACACACCGCCCGUCAC